Molecule: ribosomal RNA, 468 nt
Filed under: uncultured bacterium
Lineage: Bacteria
Description: partial 16S ribosomal RNA
Rfam family: Bacterial small subunit ribosomal RNA
Source: RNAcentral
GACGAACGCUGGCGGCGUGCUUAACACAUGCAAGUCGAACGGAAAGGCCCUGCUUUUGUGGGGUGCUCGAGUGGCGAACGGGUGAGUAACACGUGAGUAACCUGCCCUUGACUUUGGGGUAACUUCAGGAAACUGGGGCUAAUACCGGAUAGGAGCUCCUGCUGCAUGGUGGGGGGUGGAACGUUUCGGCGGUUGGGGAUGGACUCGCGGCUUAUCAGCUUGUUGGUGGGGUAGUGGCUUACCAAGGCUUUGACGGGUAGCCGGCCUGAGAGGGUGACCGGCCACAUGGGGACUGAGAUACGGCCCAGACUCCUACGGGAGGCAGCAGUGGGGAAUAUUGCACAAUGGGCGGAAGCCUGAUGCAGCAACGCCGCGUGCGGGAUGACGGCCUUCGGGUUGUAAACCGCUUUCGCCUGUGACGAAGCGUGAGUGACGGUAAUGGGUAAAGAAGCACCGGCUAACUACGUG